CAGCAGCAGGUACCGCAACGCUGGCCUUGACCUAGGGUGGCACGUGUGGCGCCUCUCAGUCCCCAUGUGUGACCUUUCUCUGACACUAUGGGGAGCGCUCUGGGCCCUGGGUAUCCUUGGCCUGUGCCUCAGGCAGGCAGAUGUGCCCCAGGAGCGAUCCUCAAGGGCCAGGGGACGGAGCUGGGGGUAAGCAGCUUCCUUAGCCCCAGGCUGGACAAUUCCAUGGUGUGUUUCAGUUUCUCACAGGGUCCUGUGGGACGGAGCCUCUGCUUCUGGUAUCCAGGGACUAACGCACCCGGUGCUGAUCACGUUUCUCACCUCCUCAGGGGUGCUCACCCACAAAUGAAGGACUUACAGCCAGGUGCCGUCUGAUGGCUCAGCCAUGUGGAAGAGCAAGCGUAUUCUUCUGUUUUCUGUAGCCAAUAACACAAUGCCACAGACUGGGUGAGUUAAAAAGAAAGAAGGUUUAUUUUGGCUGACGGUUCUGCAGGCACGAGGCUGAGGGCUGCCUCUGGUGAUGGCUGUUGUGAGGUGACACAGGGUGUCACAUGGCAAGUGACGCGACUGUGUGUGUGUGUCUUUAGGCUUCUUUCCCUGUGAGCUUGUCUAACCCUGAUCACUUCCCAAAUUGCACCCCGUAAACACCAGGCUGGAUUAGGUUUCUACUCUUUGAAUCCUUGUGAUGGCGAUCACAGUUCAACACAUUGAACUUGGGACGUUCCACCCACAUCCACACCACAGUGGCAACCCAGCUGAAUGUAAGACCGAGGAGACGUGGUCAUCCUGUGGCUUGUGAAGAGUGGAACCCAGGAGUCUGAGUGGGCCUGGGGGUCACGGCAUGGACCUCUGCAGAACAGCAGGAGGUGAGGCCCCCUCCCCCUGUCUGCUUGGGAUGACUGUGGUCUGUGGUCCAGGCAGGGGCUGGGGGGCGAGUGACCAAGCAGUGCCAUGCACACGAGUGGGCAUCAGCAUCUCCUGACUCGGCUGCCAAGUGGGGGUGACAGUGCUCUUGGGGACCCCUUUUAAUGUUUGCAAUAGUGCACCCGACACAAGUAGAUGGCUCAAUGCCUGGCUUGGGGUCUGGACCGCGCUCACGUGCGGGGACAGUGCUCUUGAUAGUGAGGCCCCAGUGCCUGGGCAAGGGGGUGACCCGGUUCCAGUUCACACAGCACAGCUUGAGUAAGAGCAGCACGUCUCCUGUGGUCCCCAGGUGUCCUCCGCACUUCUCCCAGGUGACCAGGUGUGGCGUUGCCAUCAACUGCUGACCCCUGCACUGGCCUGGCAUUUCUGAAACGCUCUCCCAGUGUGCUCCCAGUGAGGCCCUACCAGGGAUCCACACAGUGCUGGGCGGUCACCUGGAGCCCCCAGGGGGCCCAUCCUCAGAACUCCGGGAACCCCACAGAUUCUGUCCCACACUCCCUGUGGAUGGGCUGAAUCCUGGCCACAUCCUGCUCGGCCACCAGGGGCCUUUCAUCAUGAAUGUCCAAACGGAGCCAUAAAACUAUUUAUUUAAAGUAGCUCCUUUCAGCCCGUCCUCACAGAUAAACAUAAAUAAAUCACGUGGCUUCUCCAUGAAUUAUGCAUUAAACACACUUCUGUAAAACUCCCCAUCAAUGGUAGGGCUUUGAACAUAUGGGGUUUUAAUUGAACACUAAAUCAAUUUUCCUAUCUCUGUUGAUGGAAUUUUUAAAACUAUUCCUGGCUUUAUUUAAGAUGUCUGUCCUGGUUACAUGAUAGAAAAUAAAACCCUUGGACUCUGGUGAUUCUGACACCGGCUUCUGUGCUCAUUUUCCAUAAUUCAAAUCCUGGUGCCGGGCACCUGUGAUGGGGAGAUUAAAAGGGUCCUCGGGGAGCAGAGCCCUGGAACACUC
Molecule: long non-coding RNA, 1871 nt
Filed under: Marmota monax (woodchuck)
Lineage: Eukaryota; Metazoa; Chordata; Mammalia; Rodentia; Sciuridae
Source: RNAcentral